UACGUAGGGGCUAGCGUUAUCCGGAAUUAUUGGGCGUAAAGAGCGCGCAGGUGGUUGAUUAAGUCUGAUGUGAAAGCCCACGGCUUAACCGUGGAGGGUCAUUGGAAACUGGUCGACUUGAGUGCAGAAGAGGGAAGUGGAAUUCCAUGUGUAGCGGUGAAAUGCGUAGAGAUAUGGAGGAACACCAGUGGCGAAGGCGGCUUCCUGGUCUGUAACUGACGCUGAGGCGCGAAAGCGUGGGGAGCAAACAGGAUUAGAUACCCCCGUAGU
RNAcentral lists this ribosomal RNA (270 nucleotides) under uncultured prokaryote. Its description in RNAcentral is "partial 16S ribosomal RNA". It matches the Rfam family "Bacterial small subunit ribosomal RNA", at positions 524 to 794 of the family's 1533-position model. The record is from RNAcentral.